RNAcentral lists this ribosomal RNA (440 nucleotides) under uncultured bacterium. RNAcentral's name for it is "bacterial SSU rRNA". It matches the Rfam family "Bacterial small subunit ribosomal RNA", at positions 338 to 795 of the family's 1533-position model. The record is from RNAcentral.
CCUACGGGAGGCAGCAGUGGGGAAUAUUGCACAAUGGGGGAAACCCUGAUGCAGCAACGCCGCGUGAGCGAUGAAGGCCUUCGGGUCGUACAGCUCUGUCCUAAGGGAAGAAUACUGACGGUUGCGCAGGAGGAAGCCCCGGCUAACUACGUGCCAGAAGCCGCGGUAAUAUGUAGGGGCCUCGCGUUAUCCGCGAUUACUUGGCGUAAAGGGUGCGUAGGCGGCCCUGCAGGUCAGAGGUGAAAGGCUACGGCUGAACUGUAGUAAGCCUUUGAAGCUGUAGGGCUUGAGUGCAGGGGAGGGAAGGGGAGUUGCGAGUGUAGGGGGGAGAUGCGUAGGUAUGGGGAAGGACAGCAGUUGUGAAGGCGGCUCUCUGGACUGUAACUGACGCUGAGGGACGAAGGCGUGGAGUGCGAACAGGAUUAGAUACCCGUGUAGUC